This 2862-nucleotide long non-coding RNA is filed under the name Malus domestica (apple). RNAcentral describes it as "long non-coding RNA (MDOM_LNC004448)". Lineage: Eukaryota; Viridiplantae; Streptophyta; Magnoliopsida; Rosales; Rosaceae. The record is from RNAcentral.
UUAUAGACCUAGGGUUAGUUUUGGGCUACAAGGCCAAAUGGGAUUUGAAUGUCAAGCCCAUUAACUCAAGUUGUAUGACAACUUGAAUAAACAAAGGGCUUGAAAGCCCAAUGAACCCUUAAGGCCGACCAUUUAGAGGAGGGUACUAAACUUGCUUUAAUUACAAGUUUGCCACUCCAAUGAAGGAAGGUAUAAAUAUGACUUUAUAGCCAAAAUUCAUUUAGGGUUUCUUUUGGAGAAAAGAUGAGAACACAAACUCUCUUUUCUCUCUAAGAGGCCGGCCACCCUAGAGGAACAUAGCUAGCAAUCUUACUUCCUCUAGGUCACUCAUUUCUUCAUCAAUCUUUCCUUGGUGUGGAGACUUAGAGGUUCUCAACUUUGAGAACUUGGAGAAACCAAUUCUUCCAUCCAAAUCCAUGGAGCUAAGAAGCAAGGAAUGAAGGCCCUAUCUCUUGGGUGAUUAUCCUUUGCUUAUGCAAAGAGGAAUCAACAAAGGUAUAAUUUCUCAACUCACUUUGUUUUGAGUUGAGUCUUGGUUCACCUAACUACUAGGCUUUGAAUUUAAUGGGUAAUGUUUUGUUUUGAGUGCAUGCAAGCAUGAUUCCACCUUUAAUUUGUUAAUUGCAUGCUAUAGAUGUUGCUCAAAUGAACAUGUUUUUCACAAAAUGUCCUUCAAGUGGUAUCAGAGCCUAGGUCUAGUAGUUGGUGAAUCCUUUUGGGUUUUGUAUUUUCAUAGUUUAUGAUUUGAAUGUUGUAAUUGUUACAAGCUUUAUUCUUGCUUCUUUGAAUGUAAAUUUUGCUAGAAAAUUUGCCAUCUCAAAUGUUGUAGAUGUAGUUCAUAUGAGCAUGAAUUUUGGAGCUAAAAUUUGGUGCCAUGUUUUUGGGGAUUUUUGGCCAAAUCCAAAGGGUGAUUUUUUGGAUUCAUGUUUGUCUUAUUAAAAGUGUUUUAAGGUGACUUUUGGAACCCCUAAGUACCCUAGGAUGUUAACCCCGUUUUGAGUAGUGAAAAUUUGAGUUUUAUUGAUUGAAAAUGUUCAUGGAGCUCUUAUGGGUUUUUCAUGAAUGUUCUUCAUUGUUCUUGAGGUUCUUACCAAGAACAAAAAGUUUGGUGUUUUGAUUCAAAGUUUUGAUUUAUUUCAUAAAGUCUUUGUUUUGUGCUUUUUUCAAAUGUUUAAAUGUGAUUGAAUUUUUGAAAGGUGAUAGAAAUGAUGAUGGGUGUGUAAGAAGUACUUCUCUUACACACACACCACUUGCAUGAAUUUAUGUCAUGCAUCACUUGCAUGAAUUUAUGUCACACACCUCUUGCACCACUUGCACCACUUGCAUGACUUUAUGUCAAACCUACAAAUCAACACACACAUGACUCCCUUCACUCUCUAUAACCGGCCACCCUAUUAAAAUAGGGUUCUUUUGAGGCUUUUAUGCAAUUACAUAAAGUUUUGAUAUUUUUGUGUAUUUGCAGUUUGACCCAAAAGUUUACGUAUUUACAUAAAGGCCCAAAAUCAUUAAAGGACAAAUUGUUUUGUUCCUUUAAUGAAGUUUUUGAAUUUAUUGAAAUUUUUGGGUUCUAGUUGUAAUUACAUGAAGUAAUGGACUUUUGCAUUUUUACAAAAUGAGCUCAAAAGUUUAAGUUUUGCAACAUAGCCCAAAAAGUUGAGGUUAUUGCAUUUUGGCCCAAAUUAGGUUGAGAACAAAAUGGUUUUGUCUCUUUAAAUGAGAAUUGGAUUUUCAUUUCAUCUAGCUCCAUUUAAAUCAAUUUUAUGGAUACAAAAACCAAAUGACAAUGUUGCAUUCAAAGUUUAAUUAGUUAAAGCGUUAAUUAAUUAAAGGGUGAUUAUGAACCUAAGCCUACGAUAAUUGAGCUAUGUGAAAGGCCGUCUCAAAUUUGUUUGAACCAUGGGAAUGUGUAGAUUAGAUUUUGGUUGUAAUUUGAUAUGAUCAAAUGUUGUAAAAGAGCAUAAGCUCUUCUUUACUUUAAAGUAAUUUGUUUUGAUCAAAUGUUGUAAAAGAGCAUAAGCUCUUCUUUACUUUGAAGUACUCAUUUUCUUGUUUUAUUUGAUAUGCAUGAAAUUGGAGUAGUUGGGUCCAACGCCCAAUAGGAAAAACACGCCUUAAUAUGAUUAAACGCGUAACUAAAAUCAAUCACCAUCCCUAGACCGAGAUUCAACACUAGGCUCGUGUUGGAUCUAAUCAAAGGUUCAUAGUCAUCCUAAGGCCCUAAGCAACUAUAUAGUCCAUCAAAGAAUGCAAACCUUAUGUUAGUAGUAUCAUAUACUCUUGCUUUAAAAAUCGUUUUAUAAGUAUAGUGGGAGUAUUAUAUACAACUAAAAACAAUCAAAUGGACCAAUAGUUGUAAUAGGACCAAAAUUGUUUUAAUAAGAUUAAAAUGUAUAUUUAUAUGUGAUGAGACCUAAAACCCUCAACCAAACCAUUAUUAAGUUGAUAAGCGUGAGAGUGCUUUGAACACUCUUUCGUGACCUUCCACCAUGGUAUGCUCCGAUCGUUUGUGACUCGUACACCGACUUCACCCUAUCAUGGGGGAGUACAAAGUGUGUGCUUACACUCAGGAGGAAUCCUAUACACGUACAUGAUGUUGUGAAGAUGGGCAACGAGAAUGAUCAACAUCAUAUCAUUGUGAGGUUGUUCUUGAACCCCUACCCGAACUUGCAUGGUGGGAAUGACUUAACUAAGUGCAAUGGAGCCAACAUCAUAUCAUUGUGAGGCUUCAUUCUCUAGAGGCCAAAUAAGAUUGGUACUUGCAAGAGAUGCAAAUGAGUAAGUGUACUUUCUCAUUAUUAUUGAUGCUAGCCAACAUCAUAUCAUUGUGAGGUGGGCUUGGUAAUGAUGAGUCUCCCAUACCCU